AUUCACCACUAAGACAGUUUUAAAGUCAGAGCGAAGCUGUUUUGUUUGUACCACAUCAAAAUGCAGUAUUUCAGAAGAAACCGGUGGAUUGUGGGUGAUUGUAGGGCUGUUGAAGAAGGCAGUUUAUUUGUCAAGAAAACAUGUGUCAAGAAGACUGGCCAUGAUUACCAAGGACAGAAAUAAGAAGAACACAAAUGGCAGGAGAAGUUGGACAUCUCCUUCCUUGUCAAAACCAAAAUCCAACUUUUCUUAGCAUGGAAACGGACAAAGCAUGUUGACUGAACUGAGCUGUUGUGUUGAUUCUAAUUGCUAAAACUCAUCUGGAGUUUGGAGGUAAAACUGUUAGUAUAAUAACAACAACAACUAUGUGGUGGUCAAAUAAAAAUUGCCCUAGAAAAAUACCAUGGAAAAUACCAGACAUGUAACUUUUAAAAGUAUGAUGGCAAUGCAAGUUAUCAGUAUUCAUAUGUACCUUCCUCUCCCCACCCACACUUUUUGUUUGUUUGCUUUUGCAACAUCAUUUCCCCAACAGACUGAAUAAUUGCAUGUUCUGAUAAAGGCACAGUACUAUUUUACAGCAGCUGGUUUUAAAACCAAUACAAACAAAACAUGCUGUUGCUGAACAUAAAAUUGUCUGCUCUGCAUAUUAUGCUCUCUACAUAGACUACUUUAGAGGUGGCAUGAGUUACUCUCAUCUUUGCUGGGCUAUU
Rhineura floridana is the source of this 710-nucleotide long non-coding RNA. RefSeq lists it as uncharacterized. Lineage: Eukaryota; Metazoa; Chordata; Lepidosauria; Squamata; Rhineuridae. The record is from RefSeq and is a predicted model, not a curated record. The transcript has 3 exons.